Molecule: long non-coding RNA, 14403 nt
Filed under: Nicotiana tabacum (common tobacco)
Lineage: Eukaryota; Viridiplantae; Streptophyta; Magnoliopsida; Solanales; Solanaceae
Description: long non-coding RNA (NTAB_LNC011035)
Source: RNAcentral
CCUAAGACCCCUUCUUUUAGUCUUCUUAAGACUUAACACAACAGAACCCUAGGGAGAGGGGCAGCCGUUUCUGAUGGUGAAUACACAAGACAACCAUCAUCUUCUUCACAAAAAAAAAAACCUAAAGCCUAUCAUCUCUAACCUUUAGCUACCUUCUUCUUCAUGUUCCUUACACAAAAAACCUAGAGCUAGACCUAGCAGCUGCAGAAAGAAAACGAAGCAACAGCUACACAAAAAAGAACUCCUCCAUAGCAGCCUAAUGCCACUAGCACACGCAAGAUCCAGUCGUCGCUCCAUCCCCCCCCCCCCCCCCAUCGCCGUUCUUCCUCUUCACCUGUCACCAAACCAGCGAACAUCCUCUUUCUUCUUCAACCUAUUUUCCCUUCACAGAACCAGUAGCCCGCCGAAAAUUCACAGUUUCCGCACCAGCCCUACACACCACCGCAGCAGAACCGGCGAACACACACUCACUCACUGCUACCAUUCCACCCUCUCACAUAUGCCGAUACCAUAAGUGGUCAAAAAUCCAGCAGAAACAGUGAUUGAAACGUGAGAAGGGAGCAGAGACAGAGCCGAAAAAAAUACAUUAUUCUGUUUUCUUCUUAAGUAUUUCUUUGAUUUUCGUCUGAAAAUUGGAGUUCCGUCGGGGUUUCGAUUUGGUUUAUUUACUCAUGUGCGAAUACUGUAAUCGAAUGGCUGUCACUCUUUAAGGUUAAUUUCCUUCUUUGAUUUUUAAUUCUCCUCUCUAUUAAUCUUCCAUGAUUAUGAAUGUUGUGUAAUUGUUCUAUUGUUUCGCUGCUUGUCUAAAACUUUCUUCAUUUGAUUUAUUUAUGUUAUAAUCUUCAUUGAUGUGUUAUUUGUGAGAAGACAUGAAUUAAUGGUUGGAAUUUUAUUGAGUAUGAUAUGUUUGGUUAAGCUAUGACAAUAUUUGGAUUUGGAAGCAAAAGAGAGGUUUUGGUUUCUUGGCAAAAAUUAUCUAUGGUAGAGAACUCAAAGUUAAAUGAGUUGAUAUUUUUUUAAAAAGGUUUCUAUUAUUUUUUACUUGCUUCUUUUAAUCUGGUAGUUAACAACAUCGUAUGUUGAUUUUUAAAUGAAAUUGAAGUUGGAUUUUGGGUUUUUGUUAGUAACGAGAAUGAAUUUGGGAAUAAAAAGGAUUUUAUUAUUCUCGUCUCAUUUUAAUUACUAGGUUCUCUAAGAGCAUACUUAGGCCAUUAAUAUUCAUAAACAUCAUAGUUUGCUUUAGGAGCGCUAUAAUAAAUCAUCAUAGCUACGGGUACGGUUCUUAUGACGUAGUUGUGAUACGUAAUUUUCAAAUCCGGGUGCACAUUUCAUGUGACCUGACCACAAUUUCUAAUAAUGUUAAUAAAUUAAACAUGUUGUAGAUCGUGGGAAUGAUUUCCGUGACACGAUUCACAAUGUGUNNNNNNNNNNNNNNNNNNNNNNNNNAGUUGAGCGACCGUGCUAAAACUACGGAACCCGGGAAUGCCUAACACCUUCUCUCGGGUUAACAAAAUUCCUUACCUGGAUUUCUGUGUCUGCAGACCAUAGAUAAGAGUCAAAACCUUCCUCGAUUAGGAAUUUUAAACCGGUGACUUGGGACACCAUAAAUUAUCCCAAGUGGCGACUCUGAGUUUGAAAAAAUAAUCUUGUUUCGAUUAUUGUCACUUUAAUUGGAAAAACUCCCCUAUACCACCUUUUUGGGUAGAAAAGGGAGGUCUAAUAUCCGCCAUUUGGUUUUCACUCCUUUUUUGAUCAAUGAUUUCAAGGUCAAACUCUUGAAGCAGAAGAAAUCAUCUCAUCAACCUAGCCUUAGAGUCUUCUUUUGUCAUCAAGUAACGAAGUGCCGUGUGAUCGAUGUGCACAAUCACUUUGGUACCCAUGAGAUAUGGCCUGAACUUUUCCAUGGCGAAGACAAUGGCUAGUAACUCUUUCUCGGUCACCAUAUAAUUGACUUAGGCGUCAAUCUUCAUUUUGCUUGCGUAAUAGAAUUGAUAAAAUAUCUUGUUGAUCUUUUGCCCCAAAACUGCUCCUACCGCAACGUCACUAACAUCGCACAUGAGCUCGAAUGAUAAGCUCCAAUUGAGUGCGGUGAUAAUGAGAGUGGUAGUCAAUCUAUACUUGAGAAGCUCAAAAGCUUUCAUGCAUUCAUCAUUUAACAAAAACUUUGCAUCUUUUUCCAACAACUUGCACAAGAGAUUUACCACCUUUGAGAAAUCCUUGAUGAACCAACGGUAGAACCCCACAUGCCCUAGAAAACUCCUAACUCCCUUGACGGAAGUAAGAGGAGGGAAUUUUGAAAUCACUUUAAUCUUUUCUUUGUCCACUUCAAUACGUUCUUUGAGAUCUUAUGGCCGAGGACAAUGCCCUCCUCAACCAUAAAGUGGCACUUUUCCUAAUUAUGCACUAGGUUGGUCUCUUCACAUCGGGACAACACUUUGUCAAGAUUGCCUAAGCGUUCUUCAAAAGAGUCACCCACAAUACUAAAAUCAUCCAUGAACACUUCGAGAAAGUACUCUACCAUAUCCGUAAAUAUUGCCACCAUACACUGCUAAAAGGUAGCUGGUGCAUUACAUAAACUAAACGGGAUCCGUGAGAAUGCAAAGGUGCCAUACGGACAUGUGAAGGUGGUUUUCUCUUGAUAUUCCAUUGCAAUCAGAAUCUGGUUGUAACCUAAGUACCCAUCCAAAAAGCAAUAGUAGGCAUGCCCGGCAAGUCUAUCCAACAUUUGGUCAAGAAAGGGCAAUAGAAAAUGGUCUUUGCGGGUCACUUUGUUUAGCUUCCAGUAAUCUAUGCAUACCCUCCAUCCGGUGACCGUCCUAGUGGGGAUCACCUCAUUUUUCUCAUUUGUAACCACAGUCUUACCCCUCUUCUUUUGGCACACAUUGCACAGGUAAAGUCCAUGAACUAUCCAAAACGGGGUACACAACCCCUGCAUCUAGCCACUUGAUAAUUUCCUUCUUUACGACCUCUUGCAUGGCCUCAUUCAAGUCCCUUUGAUGUUCGACGGAGGGUUUGGCAUCAUCCUCUAGUAAUUUUGUACAUGUAAAAGGCAGGGCUUAUACCCCGAAUGUCAGCCAAAGUCCAUCCAAUUGCCUUCUUCCUUCUUUGGAGCACCGCAAGGGUGGCAUAUACCUGCACGUUAGUUAAGCACGAAGAAAGAAUAACAGGUAAAGUUGAAUAAGGGCCUAAUAAUUCAUACCUAAUGUGUGAAGGCAAAGGCUUCAACUCCAAUGUGGGAAUCUCCUCGAUUAAGGGCUUUGUUGGUGGAGUCUUCCGGUUCUCAAGGUCCAAGGAAAGUUUUCGGGGAUCAUAUGUAUAUGAACCCAUUCCUCGUAAAAUAGUGAUACAUUCAACUAAGCCUUCAUCCUCGGUCACAUCAGGGUUCAACAACACAACUUCUAAAUGGUCCUCCACAUUAAUCAUAGCACUGGUGUCUUCAACAAUCACCUCGGUACAAGAUCCACAAACAAACAUACAUCGUUGCUAUUGGGCUACCUCAUUGACUUGCAGACAUGGAACACAAAUUUUUCAUCACCCAUCCGUAAGGUAAGGUCCCAUGCUUCCACAUCAACUAACGGCUUCCCUAUAUCUAGUAAAGGUCUUCCCAAUAUGACUGGCACCUCAUAGUCAACCUCGCAAUCAAGUAUCACAAAAUCCGCGGGAAGUAUGAACUUGUCAACCCGAACUAGCACAUCAUCAAUGAUCCCCAAUGGUCUCUUCAUUGUUCUGUCCACCAUUUUAAUGUCAUGGAAGUGGGCCUUAGUUGCCCAAUCCCCAAUGUCUUGAACAUAAAAUAUGGCAUCAAGUUAAUGCUUGCCCCCAAGUCGCACAAAGCUUUGGCGAAAUCGACAUUACCAAUAGUGCAAGGGAUUAUAAAGUACUGGGGUCCUCUAGCUUUGGGGCCAUGGCGUGUACAAUGGCACUCACUUGAUGCGUCCUCUUGAUCGUUUCACAAAUCAUGGAUCUCUUCUUAGUUACAAAGUCUUUUAUAAACUUGGCAUAUCCUGGCAUUUGUUCUAGAGCUUCCACCAAAGGUACAUUUAUGGACAAACUUUUCAUCAUAUCAAUAAAUUUCUUGAACUGGUUCUCAUUAUUUUGUUUUUCAAGCCUUUGAGGGUAUGGUGGAGGAGGCCUUGGCAAAGAAGCCUUGGCUUUGGCCACUACUGUUACUGGUAUGUCUACCGCGUGUUCCCUAGAAGGGUUCACAUCAUUUUGUGUCUCCUCCACGUUGUCAUCAAUGUCAAUUCUCAUUUCUUCAUUCACAUUCUCAUCACUCACUUGCACAUCAUUGUUUGGCUCAUCAUCAUCUUGUACCAACACAUCAUCACUCACAACCUUUCUUGCAUUAGAGGUACUAGCAACUCCUCAUCUACCACUCCUUGUAAUCACUGCCAUAGCAUGGCUCGUAUUGUUUCCUCCCUUUGGGUUUACUACCGUGUCACUAGGUAGUGCCCCUUUACAGCGAGUAUUCAAAGCUUGAGAAAUUUGGCAAAGUUGGACUUCCAAGUUACGGAUAGAAGUAUUGUGGGAUGCCAAUUAGGCAUCAUAGUCGGCAUAUUUCUUCAUCAUUUGCUCAAAUAUUGACUCAAUCCGUCCCAUCUCAUUGUUGGACGAGCUAGGACCUUGUGAUGGAUAUUGAGGUGGGUUGUUUGGUUGUUGAAGAAUCGGAGGCCUUUGAAAGCCUGACCCCUGAUUCCCUUGAUUAUUAUUCCAACCCCCUUUGAAAGGUCUUCUUCUUCUUCUUCUUCUUCUUCUUCUUCUUCUUCGAGUUUCAAUCUAGAAAUUCCAGCAAAACUAGUCUAAUCUUCACCAAGACCCUCAAAUUGAGAUAUAAACUCCAAACCAUAUUCUCAAUUANNNNNNNNNNNNNNNNNNNNNNNNNNNNNNNNNNNNNNNNNNNNNNNNNNNNNNNNNNNNNNNNNNNNNNNNNNNNNNNNNNNNNNNNNNNNNNNNNNNNNNNNGAAUUCAAAGCUUCAAAGCUUUUUAAUGGCUGUCAAUGGUGGAAUUGUUGCUCUCUUUUCCUUUGCUUUGUUUACUGAAAUUUGGGAUUGAGAGAUAGAGAGAGACGUAGAGAGAAUUCUCAAUUCUUUGCAACAACAUCCAGUCCAAACAAACAAAUGUCUUUUGAAAACCCAAAUUCAAAUUCAAAGCUUCAAAGUUUUUUAAUGGUUGUCAAUGGUGCAGAUUUUCGCUGGUUUUAGAAGCGGAAAUCGUGGGUGAUUGAAGAGGAAAUCGUGGGGUGUGGUUUGAUACGUGAGUGAGGUGGUUGUAAAAUAUCUAGAAGAAUAUUUAAUUCCCUAAUAUUAGCGCCCCUUAAUAAGGAAGCCUACAGCUACAAUGAUUCCUUAUUUAAUGAAUUAUCUAUAUUUUGUAGAAAUAUUAUUAUCAUGGCGGGUAAUAUGCAAAACUAUGAAUAUAUAUGGUAAUAUAAUUUCCUAUAUGGUAUAGGAACGAAACUUUCCCUAAUUUUAAAUGGUUGGAUCAAGAUGGGCUGAGUUUAAUAAAUGAGCAGGUCAAUAACCAACUCAACCUUGAACGGGUUGGGCGGAUCAUUUGAGCUUGGGCCAAAUUUGACUGCACUCUUUGCCUUCAAUCAACAAAUGCAUCAAUUCUUUUUAAUUUAUGAGACACUUUAUUUUUACUUUAUUAAUUUAAAAUAUUAGACAUCAGUAUAUUUUUAUAAAAAUUUUAUAAUUUUUAAGAAUUCAAUUUUAUAGAUUUUCUAAUUUUAUAUUUUAUUGUGAUAGAUUAUCAUUCGAACCAACUUUUCAACAAUUACUUUAGUGUUCAUGACGAUCACUAAUAUAACUUUUUAAGUCGAUAUUGUCAAUUAGUGCCAAGGGGCAAAAGGUUCUUAACAUUUAGUUUUUGAACCUGAUUCCUGAUAUUUGUGUUCCUAAAUAGCUCCUCCGGUCUUAUUUACUUGCCAUUUUUGCUAAAAAUCAAAACACUUCUCGUUUUAGAAAGCAGCUUCAUUGAUCAUUAAAUAAUAUUGAAUGCCAAUUUGAUGGUUGGAGGGUACAUAUAUGCAUAUUUCGUUAUUCGAGGAAAAAGAUGGUCUCUUGGGGGAGAUCCAAUUGCAUAAACGAAUGAAAAAUUAUUAAAAUUAGAGAGUGCAUAAUUUGAUUACUGCAAGUGAUUUCAGUGUAAUUUCUCCAAACUAAGUAUAACUUUUAUCUAAUCAAUUCUAAGCUGAUCGAACAAACACACUUUUUUUUGGAAGAAAUUGAUUUUGUUAUAGAUGUAUUUUACUUAUAGUUAAUGUCUAUAUUUUAGAGAGAUUUUAGGAUUUGUUACUUGGUGGCUAAGUUACUUUCCCCUAUACAUAGAGGGUUCUAUUCCAUUAUAAUUUAUUCCGUAUCAAUACGAAUUAUCUCUCUACUUUUCUCUGCAGUACUCUUCUUCUUCCUAUAUUGUUUAUAACAUGUUAUCACCACGAGACUCAAACCAACUGAGUAGAGGCAUCUCCUUUGAUCGCCAGGCUUGCGAUACUUGCAUGAUUCUUAACUUGUACAUAAUAUUGAGCAUAAUGAUUGUCAAUUAUUCCAUGAACUUCCUUCGUGAAUAAAUUAUGGAUUUAAGGUAAGUAUUUUACCUUAUUUUUCUCUUUUAAAUUCUUGAAAUUCUAUAAUUUAAUUUUAAAUACAAGUAAAGACAAUAAAUUUUGAUUAUAACUCUAAUAUAGUUUGUAAGAAAUUAUAACCACUCGAAGUAGUAAAAUUUCUCUGUCUUGCAAUGAUCAAAUUCAUGUCUGAUUGUGAGCACAAAAAGUGAAAACCCACCCUAUUGAAUUUGCUUCAUUCUCAGUCCCUUAAGAGAAUGUGAUAGCAGUAUGUAAUAAGUCUGAAAGAAGACAAAAUUAUUACCAUGAAUAGAUGUAGACAUGCCAAUAAAUGAAAUUAUUGUGACGACCAGACUGGUCGUUUUGCUUUCUAGAAUACUGUUCCCUUAAAUAAGACUUUUCGUACUUGCUUUUAAUGAUUUAUGACUUGCGGGGAUGGUUGGUUCAGGAUUUGGAAGAGUUUGGGUUGAAAUCGAAACACUUGGUUCCUUAAGGUUGGCUUAAAAGGCCAAGUUUGACUUAGGUCAAUAUUUUAAGUAAACAACCUGAAAAUUAGAAUUUGAUGGUUCUAAUAGGUUCGUAUGAUGAUUUCGGACUAGGGCGUAUGCCUGGAUUGGGUUUUGGAUGACCCGGGAGCGUUUCAGCGCCUAAUAGUGAAAGUUGGUUCUUGAAUGUUUUAGAAGUUCUUUAAAUUUGGUUUAGAGCGGGUUUUGGUGUUAUCGAGGUCCAAACAGAAUUUCGAGACCGGGAAUAGAUCUGUAAUGUCAUUUAAGACUUGCACGCAAAAUUUGGUAUCAUUCAGAGUAGUAUAAGUACGUUUCAGCAUGUUGGAGGUGGAUUGAAGAACUUGAAGUUCAUAAGUUUGAUUCAAUUGGUUUUAGGGUAUGAUUCUUAGUCUGAAUGUUGUUUCGGCCGUUCUGAGGGUUCGAACGAGUCCGUUUUAUGAUUCCAAACUUGUCAGUAUGCUCGGGCGGGGCACCAGGGGCCCCGAACAUCAAUCGGACGAGGCUCGAACUAAGUUGAAAAUUUGAGAAAGAGCUGAAGCUCCAGCUGCUGUCAUAACCGCACCUACGGUUGGCUAGUCGCAGAUCGGAGCUCGCUGGUGCGGGACUUGACUCACAGAUGCGGCCAAGGGUGGGCAGCCUAGAACCGCAGAUGCAGCCUUUUCUCCGCAGAAGCGGUAGGCCUUCCGCAGAAGCGGUAGGCCUUCCGCAGAAGCGGCCCCAACCGACCCAGUGAAUUCCGCAGAAGCGGACCAUUUAUCUGUAGAUACGAGGCGCAGGUGCGGCCCAUGACCGCAGAUGCGGAAAUCCCUGAAGGCAGUGGCCUUUAUUUAUUACGGGCCUUAGACAAUUUUGGUUUAUUUCAAUUCAUUGUUGGACGAUUUUAGAGCUUCUUGAGAGGGGUUUUUCACCAAGCUUUUGAAGGUAAGUAAUUCCUACUAUAUGUCAAUUAAAUACUUAGAUUUUGGGUAGAUUAACAUAUAAAGAUUACUGAAAAUUAUGGGAUUAAAGGAAAACCUAGGGUUUGGCAAGAAUGAGAUUUUUACCACGAAAAUUACCAUGAAAAUUAUUAAUAAUCAUAUAUCUAUGUUCCUUAGGUUAUGGGUAACAACUUUCUUCAAAAAUUUCUGGAAUCCGGGCACGUGGUCCUGGGGGUGAAAUUUAGGAAUCUUGCCUUUGGGGUUGGGUAAUCACCUUAAUAGCGAGAAUAUGAACUUGUGAACUUGUAAUGAUUGGUUUUUACACUAUUUGAAUAGUUUCGGAUUGAUCGGCUCCGGUUUGAGGGCUUGAGUGAAUUCUUGAGUUGGAAGUGGGCCCGAAACGAGGUAAGUCUCUUUUCUAACCUUGUUAGAGGAAAAUUUCCCCAUAGGUGAACUUAACUAAAUGUGAUUAAUUGUGGGGGCUAUGUACGCACGAAGUGACAAAAGUCCGUACGUAGCUACUAUUUCUGUUAUGUCCGGGUAGUUUUAGAUUUACACCAUGUUUUAUGGAUACUAUUAUUUUAUUAUAUGUGCUAAUUAUCAUGAAAGGAGUUAAGUUGAGGAAAUUCUAAGGAUUUAAAGGCUUCAAGUUGAAUUGUCUUCAUUUUUUAAAAAGAAUCAAGGAAAGGUUAUGAUAUUAAUGAUAAAAUUAUGUUUGACCACGUCGCUUGUAUGAUUCGCGAGCGGGGUUAUGUUUUUUUGCGUCGCAUGUAUGAUUCGCGAGCGGGGUGAAUAGAUGCAUCUAUGGUUCGUGCCGUUCGACCCUCGGUAUUGCACAGUUUACUUUAUGUUGGAUCAUGUCGAACGUCCUCGGUGAUAUUCAUGUGUGAUAAUAGAACUGAAAUCUCUUAAUAGUUUGUAUAAUUUUUUUUGUUGCUUGAAAGUUUACUUGUUCUUAAAUAAAGAAGGUGUUUCAAUUCUUAGACAUGAAGGAAGGAUUUUCCAGUUAUUAUUCUUGUUUUGAGCUUGUUGUUGUUAUCUACACUCAUCAUGAUUUAUGACUUGAACUUCAUAUUAUUAUAUUGGUGGCCCUAGUAAGUGUCGGAGUCAACCCCACGUCACUACUUCUUUGCGGUUAGACGAGAUACUUACUGGAUACAUAUUUUUAUGUACUCACGCUAAACUUCUGUAUUUGAUUGUACGGGCUUUGAGGCAGGUGCAUCUGGUGAUCGGGUCCAAGCCUGCACUAUUAUUGAGUAUCAAGGAUGGUCGAUGCAGUUUACCCAACAAAGGUCGGGAUCGAAUCCACCGGGAGUUAAUUAAUUUGGAGUUAGGUUUAUAUCCGAGUAGAGAUGCGGGUUUUUGCCCUUAAUUGCACUUUCACAAAUGGUUGGUUUUGUUUUCUACUUCUACUUCUAUUCUAUAACAUGCAAUAUUUAAAACUAAGUACAAUGUUUUUGUUGUUUGUUUUCAAGGAUUAAAAUGGACUAGGGUAGUGACUUCCGCCUAGGUGGAUAUCUAAUGGAUAUCAAGAAUCUAGGGCAAUCAUGUGAUUAGUUGGGGUCGUGAUAUGGCUAUCACACUCGGGUACUCACUCUAAUUUGCCUAAUUGGGGCCGUUUGGCUGCAUACAAAGGUGGACCACCCUUUCGCUUCAAAGCUGAGGGUGUUCUUGCUAUUGGGACUCCAGCUGUGAGCCAUGUUGUUGUCGUUCUAGGAGCUAAUAUCUCCGCCACCCAUGGACGGGCUGCUUCACCAAGUGCCAACUUUUCCAAAUAUUGCAAGCUUCCACAUUCUCGAAACCAACAUACUCAUUCAACGUCUUGCCAUCGAAUCGGAUCCUCAAAUUUCGGACCUUUGUCACAGUGGUUCCCUUUUUUAUGUGGGCAAUGUUUGCAUAGAAUUACUUGACAAGAUAUUCACUGGCAUCCGAAACCUUGCUGCUGAACCAUUUCCACCCUACUCUCUCGACAAACUACCUUUUUACAUUUGGAUUGUGGGGAAGGAGGUCUCGCUCUAUGAAUUGUCUCUCAAGGGUGAGUAACCUUUGGGGCCACCAUUCUCGGAAUUUCUGGUAGGCUAACUCACUCACAAAUCUGUGCUGCCACACCUCCGGUUUUCUUGACCUUUCCAAACCCCCAAAAAUAGUAUCACCCCCUAUCCCAUCAUCCGGGACCUCGUCAUCAUCAACAUUAAUAGGGGCAGGGGCAGCUGGUGAGGCCGAAGUUGUAGCAGGUGGGGAAGAUGAUACCGAAGCCUCACUACCUUCCUCUGAGCCAUCAAACGACUCAGAAGAGGAGGUAGAUUCAUCUCGUAACUGAUAUUACCCCUCAAAUUGUGCGGGGUAUGAGUGGGCACAGAAUCUCCUUCCGAAGCUUCCCGGGAAGGGACAUAUUCACUAGUGUCUGAGUGGUCGGUUGCUCUAUCCGCAGCUUUGAUGGUAGCUCUCAUAUUUCCAAUUGAUUUUUGGACUGCUAGGGGCAUUUUGGCCUUUCCUUUACCUCUGCCUCGGGAGGGUUCUACCCUCCCUUUAGAUGUAUCACCUCUACCUCGGGAUCGGACCAUUGUCUGCAGCAAACAAGCAAAGAGGGAUAGUCAGAACAAACUCCAAGCAUGUUAAAACAUUGCAUUUGAAAUGUAGAAACUACUUCUUAGAACCAGGCACCACAGACCGCAAAAAAGGAAGCGCAGCCGCAAAGUGCCCACCGCGGACCGCGAACAAGUAACGGUGGCCACAAAAAGAUUAGGAUCAGGCUACUAACUCUCUGAACUUUUAUCACCGCGGGCUGAAAAAAAUUAAACACGCCCUAGAAUGACCAACCGCGGACCGCAAAAAAGCAAUCGCGGACCGCGAACUUACAUACAUGCAGUUCCCAUAAAUUAGGAAAUGCGGACCGCGAAAAAAUGGACCGCGGACCGCAAAAUUCAAACAACACAGGCAUUGACUAACGUUUGUAACUUAGGGUUUUUCACUAAGUGCAAAAAUUUGUGCAAUUACAAGCAUAAUUAAUAACCCUAUUCCCCACAUGAAUAUAAGCAUCAAUUAAGCAUGAUUUUGAUUUUGGCAUGUAUUAACCCUAAUUAAAGAGAAAAAGUAAAAUAAAGAUGAAAGAAAAGAAAGAAAUAAAAGUAAAACAAGAAUUUGAGCAUACCAGUUGUGAGAUUUGUAGUAGAAAACUAACUCUUGAUUAGUAAUAAUUGAGAUUGAAAGCCAAAGAAAUGUUGAUGAACAGUGAUCUAGAGUGUUUGAAUGCAAGGGGUCGAGAAGGGGAAAAGGUCUAGGGACCUCGUACUUAUACUUAAUAGAUGGACCCCACAACUUACCUGAAUGCGUCCGCAAAAUUAUAUCACGGUACGCGUUCUUUUACCUUCUGAAAAGCCUUUUCAGAAACAAGUUUGUUGAGAGAGAUAAAAAGGGGCAUAACCGCGUAAGAUCAACGCCGACCGGGAAAUAAUGACUGUGGAUGCGAAUACAACUUUAGAGAGUUGAUAUUCUGGACUUUUCAAGUCCGCGUCCACUGACAAAUUGCAACCCCGCGAAAAGCUCUCACUGACCGCGAAAUUUUGAGCGUUGUACGAGUAAUUCCCUAUACUUAGGCAAAUUUUUCGAGCAAUACUCCUGCACUGCACAAACAAUUCCUACACAAAGCUCACAACUAGUUAGUUCAAAAGAAAGCGUAAUCCAAGGAGAAAAACAAAAAGAAAGAAAAACACAUGGGUUGCCUCCCAAGAAGCGCCUGAUUUAAUGUCGCGGCACAACGCAUGUUACUAUCAUUCACUUGAAAUGGAUCAAUGCCACCAUGUGGCUAUCAUCAAACUUACGAAGAUAGUGCUUCACUCGGUGCCCAUUAACUUUGAAGAUUUCACCAUUUUUGUUUUUCAAAUCAAGAGCACCAAACGGAGUUACAUGCACAACUUUAAAAGAGCCACUCUAUUUGACUUGAGCUUUCCCGGAAAUAGUUGUAACUGAGAGUUGAAUAGAAGAACCAAAUCACCCUUCUUGAAUUCCUUGUUCCAGGCAUAUUUGUCAUGUAAGUACUUCAUCUUGUCCUUAUACAAGGACGAGCUGGAAUAGGCAUGAAAGUAGAACUCAUCAAGUUCAUUUAGUUGUUCUACCCGAAGAUUGGCAACUACAUCCCAUUCAAGGUUUAGCUUCUUCAGCGCCCACAUGGUCGUGCUCUAACUCAACCGAAAGAUGGCAUGCUUUCCCAAAGACCAACUGGUACGGAAACAUACCAAUUAGAGUCUUAUACGCAGUUCUGUAAUCCCAUAAAGCAUCAUCAAGUUUCCUUGAUCAAUCAGUCCGGUUUACAUUGACAGUUUUUGAUAAUAUGCUGUUUAUCUCCCUAUUGGAGACCUCAACUUGUCCACUAGCCUAGGGAUGAUAAGGGGUUGAUACCUUAUUAUUGACACCGUACUUGGAAAGUAAAGUAUCGAAGGCCUUGUUACAAAAAAGAGGACCCCCAUCACUGAUGAUCGCCCUUGGAAUGCCAAACCAUGUAAAGAUAUUUUUCUUUAAGAACACAACCACACUACGUGCCUCAUUGUUGGGCAAAGCCACAGCUUCAACCCACUUGGAAACAUAAUCAACAACAACCAGAAUGUAAGUGUUCUUACAUGAACUCACAAAUGGCCCCAUGAAGAGUCGAUGCCCCACACAUAAAAAAUGUCAAUCUCAAGAAUAGUGUUGAGAGACAUUUCAUCCUUCUUAAAAAAAAAUCCACCAGCUCUCUAACACUCAUCACAUCUCUUAACAAGCUCACCAGCAUCUUUAUACAGUGUAGGCCAAUAAAAUCUACAGCUGAGAACCUUUGAAGCAGUUCUCGACUCACCAUAAUUAGCACUGUAGGGCGAGGAAUGGCAAACAUCAAAAAUACUCAUUUUCUCCUCUUCCGGAACAUAUCUACGGAUCACACCAUCAUUACAAAUCUUUAAAAGAUAUGGCUCAUCCCAAUAACAAUCCAAGCUGUCCUGUUUAAGCCUCGCCUCCUCUUCCAAACGGGACAAGUGGUCCGCUGUAGACAUGUAAUUUUUGACCCUCCCUGAGAUUUUACAUAUUUUAGCUUAAAUGUUUAGUUUAGGUUUAGUAUCGCCAUUCUAAAUAGUUUUGACGCUUUUACUUUAUUUUAUCACAAAAAUAAAAAUUACAAAAAUAUUUUUUUUAUUUAUUUAAUUAAUAUUUUAUCUAGUCACGUUUAAUUUUUCUACCUUACAUAAAAUUCAAAAAUACAAAAUUAGUUCUACUUUGUUUUUAGGAAUAUUAUUUUAAUUUUUGCGAUAGUUUUAAUCUAAUUCCAUUUUGGUCUUUUAGUGUGAUAUUUGAAAAAUACCAAAAAAUAAGUUUGCUUUAACGGUUAGUUUUAUUUUUAUUUUACUUAAGCAAGAUUAAUUAAGUAAAUGAGGUAGCUUUUUUUUAGUCUCGUUCAAGGAGAAAGAAUAUAAUUUGGGCUCAAACAACUCAUUUUUUAGGCCUAAUUUUCGGAUCCAGCCCAAAUAACCUUAGUCCAUAAUUCCUAUAAGCCCAAGACCAACCCUAAGACCCCUUCUUUUAGUCUUCUUAAGACUUAACACAAUAGAACCCUAGGGAGAGGGGCAGCCGUUUCUGAUGGUGAAUACACAAGACAACCAUCAUCUUCUUCACAAAAAAAUAAAAUAAACCUAAAGCCUAUCAUCUCUAACCUUAAGCUACCUUCUUCUUCAUGUUCCUUACACAAAAAACCUAGAGGUAGACCUAGCAGCUGCAGAAAGAAAAUGAAGCAGCAGCUAUACAAAAAAGAACUCCUCCAUAGCAGCCUAAAGCCACCAGCACACGCAAGAUCCAGCCGUCGCUCCAUCUCCCCCCAUCACCGCUCUUCCUCUUCACCUGUCACCAAACCAGCAGACAUCCUCUUUCUUCUUCAACCUAUUUCCCCUUCACAAAACCAGUAGCCCGCCGAAAAUUCACCGUUUCCGCACCAUCCCUACACACCACCGCAGCAGAACCGGCGAACACACACUCACUCUCUGCUACCAUUCCACCCUCUCACUUCUGCCGCUACCAUAAGUGGUUGAAAAUUCAGUAGAAACAGUGACAGAAACGUGAGAAUGGAGUGGAGACAGAGCCGAAAAAAAUACAUUAUUCUGCUUUCUUCUUCAGUGUUCCUUUGAUUUUCGUCUUAAAAUUGGAGUUCCGUCGGGUUUUCGGUCUGGUUUAUUCACUCAUGUGCGACUACUGUAAUCGAAUGGCUGACACUCUUUAAGGUUAAUUUCCUUCUUUGAUUUUUAAUUCUCCUCUUUAUUAAUCUUCCAUGAUUAUGAAUGUCGUGUAAUUGUUCUGUUGUUUCGUUGCUUGUCUAAAACUUUCUUCAUUUGAUUUAUUUAUGUUAUAAUCUUCAUUGAUGUGUUAUUCGUGAAAAGACAUGAAUUAAUGGUUGGAAUUU